Molecule: ribosomal RNA, 491 nt
Filed under: uncultured bacterium
Lineage: Bacteria
Description: partial 16S ribosomal RNA
Rfam family: Bacterial small subunit ribosomal RNA
Source: RNAcentral
AGUGAACGCUGGCGGUAGGCCUAACACAUGCAAGUCGAACGGCAGCACAGUAAGAGCUUGCUCUUACGGGUGGCGAGUGGCGGACGGGUGAGGAAUACAUCGGAAUCUACUUUUUCGUGGGGGAUAACGUAGGGAAACUUACGCUAAUACCGCAUACGACCUACGGGUGAAAGUAGGGGAUCUUCGGACCUUGCGCGAUUGAAUGAGCCGAUGUCGGAUUAGCUAGUUGGCGGGGUAAAGGCCCACCAAGGCGACGAUCCGUAGCUGGUCUGAGAGGAUGAUCAGCCACACUGGAACUGAGACACGGUCCAGACGCCUACGGGAGGCAGCAGUGGGGAAUAUUGGACAAUGGGCGCAAGCCUGAUCCAGCCAUACCGCGUGGGUGAAGAAGGCCUUCGGGUUGUAAAGCCCUUUUGUUGGGAAAGAAAAGCAGCAGGUUAAUACCCCGCUGUUCUGACGGUACCCAAAGAAUAAGCACCGGCGAACUUCGU